GACGAACGCUGGCGGCGUGCUUAACACAUGCAAGUCGAACGGAAAGGCCCUGCUUUUGUGGGGUGCUCGAGUGGCGAACGGGUGAGUAACACGUGAGUAACCUGCCCUUGACUUUGGGAUAACUUCAGGAAACUGGGGCUAAUACUGGAUAGGAGCUCCUGCUGCAUGGUGGGGGUUGGAAAGUUUCGGCGGUUGGGGAUGGACUCGCGGCUUAUCAGCUUGUUGGUGGGGUAGUGGCUUACCAAGGCUUUGACGGGUAGCCGGCCUGAGAGGGUGACCGGCCACAUUGGGACUGAGAUACGGCCCAGACUCCUACGGGAGGCAGCAGUGGGGAAUAUUGCACAAUGGGCGGAAGCCUGAUGCAGCAACGCCGUGUGCGGGAUGACGGCCUUCGGGUUGUAAACCGCUUUCGCCUGUGACGAAGCGUGAGUGACGGUAAUGGGUAAAGAAGCACCGGCUAACUACGUG
This 468-nucleotide ribosomal RNA is filed under the name uncultured bacterium. Its description in RNAcentral is "partial 16S ribosomal RNA". It matches the Rfam family "Bacterial small subunit ribosomal RNA", at positions 28 to 507 of the family's 1533-position model. The record is from RNAcentral.